Small nuclear RNA from Dipodomys ordii (Ord's kangaroo rat), 107 nucleotides. The record is from Ensembl. NCBI's taxonomy places the organism in Eukaryota, Metazoa, Chordata, Mammalia, Rodentia, Heteromyidae.
GUGCUCGCUUCAGCAGCACACAUACUAAAAUUGGAACGAUACAGAGAAGAUUAGCAUAGCUCCUGCGCAAGGAUGACACGCAAAUUUGUGAAGCGUUCCAUAUUUUU